GACGAACGCUGGCGGCGUGCUUAACACAUGCAAGUCGAACGGAAAGGCCCUGCUUUUGUGGGGUGCUCGAGUGGCGAACGGGUGAGUAACACGUGAGUAACCUGCCCUUGACUUUGGGAUAACUUCAGGAAACUGGGGCUAAUACCGGAUAGGAGCUCCUGCUGCAUGGUGGGGGUUGGAAAGUUUCGGCGGUUGGGGAUGGACUCGCGGCUUAGCAGCUUGUUGGUGGGGUAGUGGCUUACCAAGGCUUUGACGGGUAGCCGGCCUGAGAGGGUGACCGGCCACAUUGGGACUGAGAUACGGCCCAGACUCCUACGGGAGGCAGCAGUGGGGAAUAUUGCACAAUGGGCGGAAGCCUGAUGCAGCAACGCCGCGUGCGGGAUGACGGCCUUCGGGUUGUAAACCGCUUUCGCCUGUGACGAAGCGUGAGUGACGGUAAUGGGUAAAGAAGCACCGGCUAACUACGUG
This 468-nucleotide ribosomal RNA is filed under the name uncultured bacterium. RNAcentral's name for it is "partial 16S ribosomal RNA". It matches the Rfam family "Bacterial small subunit ribosomal RNA", at positions 28 to 507 of the family's 1533-position model. The record is from RNAcentral.